This 21-nucleotide non-coding RNA is filed under the name Caenorhabditis elegans. Lineage: Eukaryota; Metazoa; Nematoda; Chromadorea; Rhabditida; Rhabditidae. The record is from RNAcentral.
UAAUUGGUACAGAUUCUUAUU